RNAcentral lists this ribosomal RNA (1414 nucleotides) under Scaphiophryne madagascariensis. RNAcentral's name for it is "partial large subunit ribosomal RNA". It matches the Rfam family "Bacterial large subunit ribosomal RNA", at positions 165 to 2597 of the family's 2925-position model. Lineage: Eukaryota; Metazoa; Chordata; Amphibia; Anura; Microhylidae. The record is from RNAcentral.
GCUAAAAACCUAGCUCAAAUUUACGCAAAUGCCACAACCAAACAACUGUAACUAAACAAAACAUUUUUAAAUUUUAGUAAAGGCGAUUGAAAAAUACCUAGAAGCUAUAACAAUAGUACCGCAAGGGAAAGGUGAAAUAAAAAUGAAACAACUUUAAAGCAAAGCUAAGCAGAGACUUAACCUCGUACCUUUUGCAUCAUGGUCUAGCUAGUUCAACCAAGCAAAACGCAAUUGUAGUUUGACACCCCGAAACUAGGUGAGCUACUUCAAAACAGCCUUUAAGGGCCAACCCGUCUCUGUUGCAAAAGAGUGGGAAGAUUUUCAAGUAGAGGUGACAGACCUACCGAACCUAGAGAUAGCUGGUUAUUCAGGAAAAGGAUUUAAGUCCUACCUUAAGUUUUUUUAUACCACAAAAUAUAACAGUAGACUUAAGAGCUAUUCAAAUAAGGUACAGCCUAUUUGAAACAGGAAACAACCUUAAACACAGGGUAAUGAUAUUCUAAACGUGACCAAGUGGGCCUAAAAGCAGCCAACUUUUAAACAGCGUUAAAGCUCCAUCACUUUAUUUAACUAAUAACAUUAAUAUUACAAAACCCUUCACCACUACUGAAUGACUCCAUAACCAUAUGGAGAACACUAUGCUAGAACUAGUAACAAGAAGAAGACCUCCUCCAAAAUGUAAGUGUAAGCCAAAAUGAACAACUCACUGGCACUUAUCGUCUCUGAACUUAAAGUAGUAACUUCACAAGAAAAUUCUACCCCCACAAACGUUAACCUUACACCAGAACAUUACCGGAAAGAUUAAAAAAAGAGGAAGGAACUCGGCAAAUUUUAACCCCGCCUGUUUACCAAAAACAUCGCCUCCUGAAAUAACCAUAGGAGGUCCAGCCUGCCCAGUGACAAAGUUAAACGGCCGCGGUACCCUAACCGUGCGAAGGUAGCGCAAUCACUUGUUCUUUAAAUGAGGACUAGUAUGAAUGGCAUCACGAGGGUUAUACUGUCUCCCUCUUUUAAUCAGUGAAACUGAUCUUCCCGUGAAGAAGCGGGAAUACAUCUAUAAGACGAGAAGACCCCAUGGAGCUUUAAACUCAGUAUCAACUGCCCUCCCAAUAUAUCCACCUAAUUAAGCAGACAUGACUACUAGUUUUCGGUUGGGGUGACCGCGGAGCAAAACAAAACCUCCACGAUGAAAGGAAUUAACCUCCUAAUCAAAGAGCUACAUCUCUAAGAAUCAACAAAUUGACAUUUAUUGAUCCAAUUUUUUGAUCAACGAACCAAGUUACCCUGGGGAUAACAGCGCAAUCCAUUUCAAGAGCCCCUAUCGACAAAUGGGUUUACGACCUCGAUGUUGGAUCAGGGUAUCCCAGUGGUGCAGCCGCUACUAAAGGUUCGUUUGUUCAACGAUUAAAACCCU